AAAUUAACCAGAAAUUUAGUGUGGGUUAUUCCUGGCUUACUAAUACUGAGUGUGUGUUUGAUAUCAUGUCUAAUUAAUCCUUUAUUAUGUUUGAUAUCCAUGGGUAAAAGUUGGAUUAGCAAAUAAAAUACCGAAAAUAUCCCCCUAAAAAAUUCAAAAUUCCAUGCGCAUCCUUUAGUUUAGGCGCGGCCCAUCAUAUCAGAAACCUACUUCCUCUUUGAACAAUAUUUUUCAUUCAUCAACUUGGAAACAGAAACGACGCCAGCGACUGUGCUUGAAUCUGGAGUUGCGAAGAAGAAGCAUCUGCGGUUCCAUUCAACCAAACCUGCAAGUUCAAUACAGAAUUUGUGAAUAUGAGCCAAGCUACUCAAGGCAGCAACGGGACAUCACUUUCGGGUCGGGGAACCAAGCCGGACCAGAAGCGGCGUUCAUGGUCUCGUCACGAAGAACAAGUUUUGCUAGCCUCCUUGAAAGAGCUUGUUGCCAACGGGUGGAAAUCGGACAAUGGAUUUCGCGGUGGUUACUUGAAUAAGUUAGAGGAAGCUAUGCGGAAGGAGUUCCCGGCGACGGACUUGAAAGGAAUGCCCCACAUCAACUCCAAGGUUACGACGUGGAAGAAGACGUACUAUUCUCUAUGGAACAUUCUCAAGGUUAGCGGAGUCGGCUUCAACAGUUAACGGGAAGCAUAUGAUUGACUGCGAUGAUGAACAAUGGGAAAACUUUGUGGCUGCCGAUAAGAACGUGAGUAACUACCGUUACAAAAGUUGGCCUUACCUCGAGGAUUGGAAGAUUAUCUUCAGCAAGGACAGGGCUACCGGGGAGGAGGCGGAGGACCUUAUGGAGGCGACACAUGAUAUGUACCGCAAAAUAGACCUCACCCAAGUCAACGAUGGUGGUGAUUAUCACGUCUCCCUUGACGACAUAUUGGAGAACGACGUGACAGCCGACAAUGUAAGCCAAACACGCAAUCAACAAGAGAAUAAACCUUGUUGAGAACGAGGCUCCGAUCUCAAGUAGGAAACGGCGUCGUUCAACUGGUUUUGAUGAUAGGUUCUUCGAGGCUUUACACGAGGUGGGUCGGGGUAUCGAAAAUAGACUCGAGACAAUAUCGAAUCGCAUGGGAUAUGACUUUGAUAUUUCAAAUGCGCGCAAAGAAGUAAAUGCGAAGUUGAAAGCCAUACCCGGGUUAUCAAGAACCGAUAGGUUCGAGAUAUGUAACAUGCUUGCCAUGCAAGUGGAGCUCCUAGACAUAUUCACGAGUCUCUCCGAAGAUGAGAAGGAAGACUAUGUGUUCUUCCUUCUUCGAUCGAAGAAGAAUUGAUGGCAUAGUUUAUGGUAACCAUUGAAAUGCUCUCUUUUUGGCUAGUAUGCAACUAAAACUUGGUUGAUAUUUGGUUUUGAACUUGCUGUCGUAGUUUGAUAUUUCUAUCUUCUUAUGUCCGAAGUCAGUUUUGCAACUGCGUGGAAUGACAUUCUUCUACCUUCGACUUUUGUGUGUUGUUUUGGAUUAUGUAAGCGACGGUCUUCGAGUUUCAUUUUAUCUAUAUGCUCAU
Salvia miltiorrhiza (redroot sage) is the source of this 1553-nucleotide long non-coding RNA. RefSeq lists it as uncharacterized. Lineage: Eukaryota; Viridiplantae; Streptophyta; Magnoliopsida; Lamiales; Lamiaceae. The transcript is spliced from 3 exons. The record is from RefSeq and is a predicted model, not a curated record.